Molecule: RNA transcript, 2520 nt
Organism: Dreissena polymorpha
Lineage: Eukaryota; Metazoa; Mollusca; Bivalvia; Myida; Dreissenidae
Exons: 6
Source: RefSeq, a predicted model, not a curated record
UUAUGACGUAUGUCUUGUGACGUAAUUUCUCCGAUUAAAUAUUCCCGUUUUAGUUAAAUUCUCUGGAUGUUAAGGACAUGUAGGACGUGGUGUGUUUUAAGUUAUAUAUUUGUUUAGAGCAUCGAACGAAUGCUAAACGUAUUUCGGAUAUUGUGUUUAGCAUACAUAAUUGUAAACUUCGAUAGGAUUACACUACAAUAGUGUGAUUUAAAAGGCAGUGCAGUGGGUCUCUGGGGUGAUUGAGUAUUCUUCGCAGUAUGGAAGCUACAAUUAAGUAUCGGCAGUUUGAAUAUUCCUUCACUCGAGCAAUUGUGUGCAAGACGUAGAAGUUAUUUGUAUGGCUUCUAUGGCGACAGGGCAUUUAAAUGAAACUAUCAUUGGGACCAAGUGUGCUCUAUAUCUGAACAUAUUGUAAACACAUACUAUAAGAAUAUGUUCUUUCAUAUAUUAUUUAUAAAUAAUAUAACCCGUCUUGAAUAUAGCAGUUUACACAAUUAUGAAUAUUUAAGUGCAUGUUAUUUGAAAUAUCAUAUUGUUGUGUUUGUUAUUUGUUGAUGCAUGCUAUUUAUGCUGAAACAAUAUUUAAGCACAAUAUUCGCUUCAAAAUGGUAAGGUGCCAUGUCCGACUUUGCGUUUUUAUUAUUUACGAAUAACAUCCUCGUCAGAGCGGAACCCUUCGUCCGUUUUUAUAAUCACCCCUUCCCAAAACAGUUUUGUUAUAUGGGCCUCGCUCUUGGAAAAGGGGCUUAAUAUAUGUGCGUCAAUAGUCUUCUCGGAUUAGCCUGUGAAGUCCGCAAUGGGUAAUAGAGUACGACACUGUCCGCUGUUAUGGAACAUGCGUUUUAAUGAGGUCUCUUUUGUACACAAAAUGAGGUCUUUGCGGAAAGUUUCCUCCCUUAUAAGCAAGUGAGGAAUGCACAAGCUAAUCUUGGAGGACAAGUUCGCGCGUAUUUUUUUCCAAGAACGCGGCUCAUCAGGUGUAAUUCGUUUUUCAGGUGGAGUGCGGAGCAAACACUGGGUGUUCCAGAUGUGUACCCUGGAUACGCGGAUGACAAAAGGGCAUGGGCCCCAGAUGUCAUCGACGCAAACCAGUACUUAAUGUUGAAGUUCGCCACCCCCGUCUACGUAACAAAAGUCGACGUCUACGAGACUUUCAAUGCUGGCGGUGUCAAGGAAAUUUGGUGCUUCGAUUUCCAAGAAGAAAUUUUUCCCAACGGAACAAUGGCCGUUAACAGGAGGUGGAUAAGGCUAUGGUCGACGAACCAAGUAUCCGUUAUUAAGUCUGCGAGGAUUUUUAGUGUAUCGUUUAAGUCUACAAUUCGUUAUUUCUCGGACACCAUUCGGCUGGUUAUCGACUGCACCGCUGCAAACACCUGGGUGGAGAUAGACGCUGUGAGGCUGAAAGGCUUACAGAAGUCGUGGAGUCGUCUUGCAAAACGUGAGCAUGUGAAUGAAGUGCUAGAAGAUGAGGAGGACAAGGCCGUUACAGCCGUUGAGUCCGCACCAGCAAAGAUGAGCAUCAAGCAGCUACUCGCGCACGUUAGGAAAUAGAUUGGAAAUCCGACUACGCAACCCCUACGACGACAACGGCAACUUGAAAAGUGAAGUUAUAAAAAAGAACAUGCUAAUGAUAUAAUCCAUCUUCAACAAACAUCUUGUACACAAGCUUUGUGUCUGGUGUUGUGUUAAUGCCCCCGGUAGGGUGGCAUUAAGCAGUUGAACUGUCCGUCAGUCUGUCAGUCUGUACGUCCGUCCGAAAACUUUUACAUUGGCCAUAACUUUUGCAAUAAUGAAGAUAGCAACUUGGUAUUUGGCCCUCAUGUGUAUCUCAUGAAGCUGCACAGUGUGAGUGGUGAACGGUUAAGGUCAAGAUCAACUUUCGAGGUCAAAAGUCAAAAAAUACAAUUCAAGGGAAGUCAUAAGCCUUAAAAGGGGGAUAAUUUCUAAACCUGCCCAAUGAUAUAUUUUAAAAGUUUAUUUAAAAGCGGCGCAAUCGCUUCUCACCAAGGCGACCCGGGUUUGAUCCCCGUUCCCGGCGCAUGUGAAUUUGGUUGGUGGUCACCAUACAAGACUGGUGGGGUUUCCUCCGGGUAAUCCGGUUUCCCCCCCCCCCCCCCACAGCACAAGACAACCUCAAAAUUAAACAUAUUUCAGUAAACAAUAAAUAGCUAGAAAUUGCAGCUAUCAUUCAAAAUUCGUCCCAACUUUCGGGAGUCUAACAUCUGAUUAGGAAGGAGUGCUGGGACACACUCCGGGUCCUCACCUAAUGCAGCCUCUGGCGCGGACGGACCUCAUAAACAUUGAAAUACACACACGGAGGCAUUGGUUUCUGACAAACUCAUCUCUUGUUUAUAAAUAAAAGUGCAUUUGUAUACCUGUUUGUGUUCUAUUAUUUACCUUUUAAAUGUUUGAGAUAUAUUGGCGAACGUUUGAGAAAGUUCAUAGUGUUUUGAUUCACAGUGUUUCAAACAACCUGGCAUGGCCGUUAAAAAUUAGUAUUAAAUUGUUCAACGAAAAAGA